RNAcentral lists this transfer RNA (67 nucleotides) under Echinostoma caproni. It matches the Rfam family "tRNA". Rfam says of the family: Transfer RNA (tRNA) molecules are approximately 80 nucleotides in length. Their secondary structure includes four short double-helical elements and three loops (D, anti-codon, and T loops). Lineage: Eukaryota; Metazoa; Platyhelminthes; Trematoda; Plagiorchiida; Echinostomatidae. The record is from Rfam by way of RNAcentral.
GGCCUCGUAGCUCAGCUGGUAGAGCGUGCGCUGUACAAAAGCAUGGGUUCGAAUCCGACCGAGGUUA